GGCAGACGAUCCACUGCCUUCAUUUGAGGCCGUUCCCAAUCUACAUCCGAAUCGGCACCAUUGCAAACAGUUCACGCCCGUGACACCGGCCCGUCGUGGUCGUGGCCGACCUCCAGGGUCGCGAAGUCUGACCCGAGCUGACGCCGAUAAAAAUUCUGUUAUCUCGCACGAAUUUCCAGAGCUUCAGCGACCCCCAAACCUUCUUAACAACUACGGAACUCAAGUGAAAAUCGACCCACUCCCAGUCGAACCAGUCCUUGAUCGACUCAGCAUAACGGCUAUCCUGAUGCCUUUAAAUCUGAAGAUCGAGCGCACAUAUAGCCAGACCCUGAUCAAGGCUCUACGUUGUUGUGCGGACUCUUGGCCAUUCAACAUCUCGUCGAUCUGGAUGCAUUAUGGAGAAAAUCUAGAUAAUGACUUCCAUGAUGAGCCUCUGGAUUGGGACAUACUGGAGAAGAUGCUGGCGGGCGAGCAGUUUAAGGG
RNAcentral lists this long non-coding RNA (483 nucleotides) under Drosophila guanche. The record is from RNAcentral. Lineage: Eukaryota; Metazoa; Arthropoda; Insecta; Diptera; Drosophilidae.